AAUAAUCUUAUUUUUCGUUUUUUCAUGUCCAACGUUUGACCAUUUGUCUUAUUUGAAAUUUUUUGUGAUUAAUCUUUUUAUUCUUAUUAGAUGAUAAAACAUGAAUAGUAUUUUAUGCGUGACUAAUUUUUUUUAAGUUUCUGUACAAAUUUUUCAAAUAAGACGAAUGGUCAAAUGUUGGACACGGAAAACGAAAAAUGAGAUUAUU
Molecule: non-coding RNA, 208 nt
Organism: Oryza brachyantha (malo sina)
Lineage: Eukaryota; Viridiplantae; Streptophyta; Magnoliopsida; Poales; Poaceae
Source: Rfam